GAUCAGACUGAGAGUUGGUGGUGAGCCAGAAUUUGGAUUCAUGUCUCCUUUUGAGACUUCUGCGAAACAAAUUAAAUGGCAGAAAAUCAAGCUUUGAACCCCUCCCAUAGCAAACGCCAGCACAAACUUUGUAAGCAUUGUGGUCUCUCGCUUCUGAGAAGCUUGUAAAAUAGCCUGUGAAUAUUCUGUGCUUUCUCUUUCAUUUCCCCAGCUCUGAAAAUGUUUAUGAAUGUUCCAGCAUAUCACAUGAGCUCAGAUGUUAAGUAACACAGGCAUCAACAAAGCUGCCUCUACAAACUCUCUUAAGCACACGGCAGUACAGUGCUUGUGGGCUAUCACUCUGAAGGAGGUGCUUGAGUUGCUCUUCACUCACCUAUUAUAAACUAGGGCUGCCAAUCAAUUAGCUCAACUUUAACUGAUAUUAAAUUUCAUUAGGCUGAUUAAUCACAUGCCUUUAACACAAUGAAUGGGUUAACCUUAAAUAGAUUUGCAUAUUAUGAGAAACCUUAUUGUAUUUAAUUGAAAAUAAUUAAUUAUGCGAUCAUUUUUACUCCCAGAGAAACUUUCAUAAGAGCAAUAAAAACAAGACAAUGACUGACCACAGCUUUAGAAAAGGGUGAUAAGGAAGGAAUAGGAAAACAGCAAAUUCAUUCAACAUCUGUCAACUGUUCCGGAUAAACCAGGACAUCCUAGUUUUUCCCCAUGAGAGCAUGGUGGCCAUUCUGGAUGCCACGAUCUUGGGCUGCAAUCUUGCUUGCAAAAAGUGCUUUUGGGGGGGAGGGGAGGCUGCGAUCUUGCAUGGGUCACAUGACUCAUGCAGGAGUGUGUACCUGGAAGCGGUGCCCUGGUUUUAGGCAACAUCAUGUUGGAGGGCAUAGUAGUAUUUUAUAAUGACCAGCAGGACCGGUUAGCAGGAGGAGCAGCCAGAUGGAGUUGAUCUCAUCUACGGAGAGGCCUUGCUUCCCUUCUCAGAUGGAAUAAAUGCUUCCAGGUGACAGGUGAGGGAGGGAAAGCCCAUUGGAGCUGAUUAUUCAGCAGAGCCAUUGGAGAGGCCCUGCUUCCCAUUUCUUCUGAGUGCCUUUUAGACGUAUUGAAGCAUGUGUGAGAUUGCUUGCAACUUAAUAAACAAAAAAUAAAAUCACAUGCCAUUUGGAGGAAAUGCCAUAUUUAUAUUAUCCAGCUCACUUCCUUUUACAGUAGCAUACCAGAACCAAAACAGCCUCGAAAAAAUAUUAAACAAACAAGUCCUGCCAAUUAAAAUUGACCCACCCUGUUAAUCAACUAAAGCUUUAGCCACUGAAUUUACAGUUUGCCCGAUUGAACAUUGCAGUCUUCCUUUAAAUGAAUCAAGUGGAAAGGUCCUAAGGGUCCUGAUGGAAACAAAUGAACGAGGGCAUAAGAAGGAGCGGGUCACUGACACACGGAGAAUGCCGGCAACCGGCUGAUAUCAACUGGAAUUAGCCUUUCAGAUUAAAUUGCAAUUAAAUUGCAAUUAAUAAAAGUAGAAGGCGGCACUAAUUGCAGUGCUGAACACUGUCAACAGAGGAAUGUGGAUGUCUUGUCUUGGAUACUAAACUAAGUUAACAAUAGGAGCCUAUGCGUGUCUACACAGAAUUAAGGCCCACUGAGUUGAACUUGCUUUACUUCCAGGUAAGCGCACGUAGGACUGUAGCCUUAAGGAAGUUCAUGGAACAUCUCUUCCUCAGAGGCGUACCUAGCCUCCCUUGGGCCCUUGGCAAGGAGCUGUAUUGGUGCCCGCUCCACCAUCCCUUGACCUUUGGCAAGGAGACAUAUUGGUUCCCCCAUCCCUUGUGCCCUUGCCAGAGCAGCCAAGCCAGAGUGGAAAUGCAUGGUCAACCAGGCCAACCCCAAAGUACGCCCCUGCUCUUCCCAUCCCACAUUUAAAGUAAGGGCCCCAUCCCUCCCCUCGCCCCACCUGAGGGGAUUUUUUUCUGGGUACAAGUGAGGGCAGGAAAGGGUGGGUGGGAAGCUUUCCUUUCCUGAACUUCCCUCAGCUGACUUAGCUUAGGAUCAAAGCCCCUAUUUCUAUUUCAUAAUGAAUGCGGCAGAGACGUGGAUUUGCUGCUGAGCAGACUGGCUUAUCACUAGGGAGGGUGGGUGAACUGCUCAUUCACAGCAGAACAACUUUUGUUUUGUUUCAGAAUGAGCCAUGUCCCAGACAGACUAAGGAAACAGAUAUGAAAGCACGAGAAGCUGGAAAGUCCCUCGGCACAACUAUUUAGGCUAGGAGUUGAAAGAUAAAGCUUUCUAAUAGAAACAGUUCUGUCCUGUCAGUACCUAUUAUUGAACUCGCUACUCUGUACAUUUCCCCCUGAAGAAAUGCCCCCCCAGGGGUUAAAGCACAGCAGCUCUUUACAGGGUUUCCAGCUGGAAUGAUAGAAGCCUGUUAUAUGCCUGGAUAUUUUUCAGCGCAGAUUAUUUGCGGCAGGAGGCCAUUGUUUUUUAGGUGUGCAGGGCUCAUGGGAUUUGAACUUGUACAGCAGAUUGCUUAUGAUCCAUGGACAGAACGCACCCGCUGAUCUUAGCGGCAGAGCUUUGGACACACUUCAAACGGGAGAGCGAACGUGCUUCAAAGUAUAAUGGAGGAAAUGUUCUGCUAAGUAGGGAACUCCGCCUCAUAAAUAUCAAGCUGAAGCCAACAUGGAAAAAAAAGUCAACACAGAAACGAGUAUGUUCUGUGAGAAAAUGUUCCGUUGGAGGGUUUUGAGUAUCUGGAGUACAGUAUCUUCCUACCCUACUGAAGUGUUGUCUCAUAUUUUUGCUCAAUGAUGCUGAUUCACUUUUAGCAAGAAGGCUGAGGCAUGGCCUGCCCGUAGCAGAGAGUUUAGAAGGAGGCCAGGCCAGAAGAGCGAAUCAUACAGAGAUGGAGUCAGCAGCCUCCUCUGAGAAGGGCUGGCCCUGCCAUUGGGCAGAGUGAGGCAGCUGUCUCAGCAGGGCAGGAUUAACCAUUCAGCAAAAUAAGCAUGUGCUUAGGGUAUCAAGGGAAGGACGGCAACACAGAAAUUUUCCAUUGCCGGGUUUUUAACAUCAGUGGCCACAAAUUGCUCAGCUGAGCGUUCAUUUUCUCAGUGGAAGUAGAUUAAAAAUCCCAACAGAACAACUAUGCAACAAGGCAGGCUGGAUGCCUUCUCUCUACUAAGUACAGAAAUAGGUGUGUUAUGUAAGAUUAGUUCUGAGAGUUUGAUCAAAGACUUGGCAUUUAGAAAAUAAAGGAGAUUCCCCCCUCCAAAUAUAAAUAAAGUGAAAGUAUACAAAAAUAAACAUCGCUGUCCAUCUUACUGUAGGUUUUGUUUCAUUUUGAAAAAUAAAAACUUAUUUUACGGUUUAUUGUUGUUUAUAUUUUGAAUGGGGGGGCCCAACAUAUUUUCAGUGCUUAGGGCCUGCGCCUCAGGCAGAUGUUGUGGGUGGGGCAGGCAAACAAGGAAGUUGUACAGCUCUGUGUGUGCAAUGGAGUCUCCCCUAAGCUCAGCCAAGCUGUGGACCACCCUGUUUACAGUGCAAAAGUAAGAUUUCAACAGCUAGUCCGGUCAGCUUUUUGAAAGUGGGAAGACAAGAGGCACCAACAUGUUCAUAAUUUGUUGAUUAAAUAAAUUUAUAUCCCGCCCUUCCCCUUGAAGGAGCGCCCAGGGCCACAAAAAGCAUCUUAAAAAACAAUUCUGAUACAGACACAGAGUGAGAAAGAUCUCAACUGAAAAGAUCUUUGCCUCGGGCAGCAAAAGAUUUUGGGCCUGCCCUGCCUCUGCAGGUGGAUAAAGCCUUUAAUUGCUUAAGCCUUAAGUAAUUGUUUAUUUGCCACAAGAUGCUCACCUGUUCUGCCCGACACACAAAUCUGCCCAGGUGAACCAUCCGAGGAUCCCUGCUGCAAAAAUAUUUUGUGUACUCUUAAAAGUAAAAAAUAAAAAGUGAAUUGUGAAGCAGCUGUUAUACUGUGGAGGUUUCAGGCUCCUCAUGCUUUGACUCUUCGGUUAAAAAGGGCACUGAAGCAGGUGCUAGAGCCAAGACUUGGAGAGAGGUUGCCAGCCCAAACAGGCAGUGCUGGACCAGUUGGACAAAUAGCCCGGCUUGGCAUAAGACAGCUUCUUAUGUGUGCUCAGGCCUAACAUCAGGAAGUGUCCCUUGCCCUCCAUGAAACCAGAGCAAGGCAAAUCCUGCCCUCUAUUCAACCUGAGUGAGCCAGGCACAUAAUUCCUUCCAAGCCUUCAAAUCCACAGGUUCUAGAUGAGGUCGUCUGGCACAGAGACGGGAGUUCCAGGUGGUCCUUUUCUCCACCAAUAAUCCUCCCUGCUAAUCCCCAGAUGCAAAUUCUAAUGGCACACAUGGCGCCCAAUGCUUACCCAGGGUGCUCCUGCUGCUGCUGCUGCAACCAAGGCAUCCAAGGCUUGCUGCCGCAGACAGGGGGUCAUUAAAGUUGGUGCAGGCCCACCCGAUGGCACUUACCCCUUCCUCUGCACUUGUUUUCCGUCUGUGAGAGGGUAAGAAUUACCUUCCCAGAUUUCUGCUCUGGGCAUGCGGCCAGAUUGCAAGAAGGCCACCUCAGAGCAAGACUGCAGACUGCAGAAAUGGUCGGCCUGAAUGCAGGAGCUAGGCUGCGCACCCCAGACAUCCUAGCAGUGUCCCUCCUGACCAGGGUGGCCCUGCAGACAUUGUUAGACUCCAACUCCUGCCAUCCCUCCUCCCUCACAAUCCACUUUCCUUUCGGGUGACAUCUCUUUAGAUCAGGAACCUGAGGGCAGGGACCUGUAAUUUGCCCAGCGAUCCUUAAAACAACAAGAACAACAACAACUGAGGAGCAGGAUAAAAAUUCUUUAAAUAAAUUGAAUAAAUUCCAGCCUAUUUCCUGUGCAGGCAGGGGCUGAUGGGAGUUGGAGUCCAACCACAUCCCGAAGGCCAAAGUUUAGCCACUCUCUUUUGCCGGGCAGGCAGAGAACCUUGUGCCUUAGUUUUGAGCGUUUUCAUGAAUGCCAGGGGCUGCAUUCUCGCCAACUCAUGCUAACCUUAUGCUGCCGUGUGUGAUCAUGUGACUUCCACCACAGAGUUCCCUAAGAGGAUUGGGUGAAUAAAGAGGCAACCAGCCCUCUUUUGAGACACAAAUAGCCAUGUUCAUUAGCAAAUAACACACUGCGAGGCAAAUUAUGGUGGGGAGAGGGAAACAGCAACAACCAUGAGGAAAGCCAAUAGAUUUGCUAGUAAAUCGGAUAGACGUGGACAUUUCCCUCAGCAUGAAAGUCCUUCUGUAAAGCUGAGGGAAGCUGUCUAGCGGCCUGAGCUCCUGUAAUUCCUGGAUUCCAAUCCCAGCUCUGACAUUAACGCCGCGUAAUCCUCUGGCUCUGACAUUAAGGGCAAGAACCUCAGCUGGCACGGCUUGGCACGGCUCCACUGACAUCCGUGGCUUAAAAGUGUUAGCUCACUAAGGCUGCAAUCCUGCACACACUUAUCUGGGAGCAAGCCCCUUUGAAUGCAACAGGACUUCCUGCUAAGUAAGAUGGCAUAGAGCAGGGGUCAGCAAACUUACCAUGCCUUGGGGCAGUGUCUGCAGCGCCAAUUGUGUGGCAGGCUGGAGGGCGGGGGAGCGUGUGCCCAUACACACGCACACACGCUAUUUCCGGCGCACUUCCGGGUCGGAGGAGCACUGGAAAUAGCUUGUGCACGGGCCUCCCCCAACCCAGAUGUGCACUGGAAAUAGCGUGUGUGCAUGGGCAAAUAACGCUUGCACAUGCACACAAGCUAUUUCCAGUGCUCCUCCAACCCAGAAGUGGGCAGCCGCGCAGCGCAGCACCAUGCCGGUAAGAGCGGGCGGCGGCAGCGGUCACCGCAGACCAGAAAAACAAGUCCCUUGGGCCUUAUCUGGCCCGCGGUCCUUAGUUUGGGGACCCCUGGCAUAGAGUCACUGUUCAAAAAGCUGAAGCCAUGCCUCUUGUUCUGUGGAAGCAGCAUGGCAACAACUGUCCAAUCUACCCUGGAGAAUUCUGGGAGUUGUGUUGAGAGUUUUCAGGAGAAACCCUAUUACUCACACAGAGCUGCAACCCCAGAAUUCCCUGGGAAGAGUGUUUGGCUGUUAAGCCACUCUGGAAAUAUUACCUCUUUGAAUGGGUAAAGGGAUCUCCCAACAAUUCUCAGCAUCUUUAACAAACCACAUUACCCAGAAUUCUUCAGGGGAAGCCAUGACUGAUUCAAGUUCACAGUCCUUAAAAAUAUGGUGUGGAUGUGCUACACACCUUUGGUCAACCUACUGAGGGUAACACGGAAUUCAACAUACCAUGGAAGUAGUAUCCCUUCCAAGGAGCCAUUGAAUGUCUGAAACAAGAAGGAAGGAAGGAAGGAAGGAAGGAAGGAAGGAUAGACGAAUAACUCCAAAUCUGCACAUGGCUGUUCCUUUUCCUCCCACACCUCCUUUCUUCCCCCUUAACAAACUGUUGGUUUGGCAAUGGCGUAGAACAGCUGAAUACCCAUGGCAGGACAUCAAGAGAAAAAUACUAACAGACGCCUAAGUGCAUUGCAUAAUGCCCCAAACCUUAACUCACUGGCUGUGCAUUACUGAACAACAAUCAGAUGAUCUCUCUCUAACUUUGGAAAAUAAGAACCGGCUGGGCUGGGAGGAGGGGGGGCAGAACAGCAGCCACAAGGGUUUUAAUUUCCAUAUGGGUUUUAUUUUUGCAUUGUUCUGCAUUUCCUGGUAUUUAUAACAUUCAGAGGUUUGUGCUGCUUUUCAUGUUUUUGUUAUCUUGCUUCCUACGAUAUGCUUCAUCUCAGCGUUUCCCCAGAGCUUUAUCUAUGAAGGACGCCUGGGCAAUCUUUUUUUUCCCAGUGGGGCAUCUAGAACAGCCUUGGCUGGUGCCCUCCAGAUGUUUUGCUUUGCAAGUGACCAUGCCGGCCACUGGGACAAAAAGCAGUUGUCAGCGAAAACAUUUGGAGGGCAUCAGGUUGGCAAAGGGUGGUCUAGAGACACGCACCUGGUCACUUGCAGCAGGGGAACUGGGGUCCUCUUUUCUAAGCUGUGAGUAUGAGAUGGUUUAAAUGUCUGUGGGUGUUCAGCACACCAUCAUAUGUGAGGUCGUAACAAUCAGUUGCAGGGCACACACAUAAUAACAACAACACAUAACUGCAUGUGAACACACACAUGAAUUUACACGAUUACAAAUGAACUUAGGGCUAGUUUAAGUGUUAACCCUGCCCCUGCACACCUCAUAGUUCAGUGAUCUGUGCUGGCUCCAAGAUUUGGUGGAGGGUGGAGUUCAGGCUUGGCAUGUUCAGUGACACCCCCCUCCCCCCCCCAAAUACCUGGAAGAAGCAUAUAAACUUAUUGCACACUCUGUGCAAUGUUGAAAUGGUAGCACUGAUAGGCCAAUAGGCCCUCCACUGGUUUUGUGGCCCUAUCAAUGAAUCCCUCAGCUUGCCUUCCCCUUUCCACCCAGCAAACCUCGGUGUCAUUCAUCCAACAACAUAAAUGCUCCAGAGCAAAGUCAACUCGUCGGCCUGGCUUGCACUAAGCCAAACCAUGGUUUAGUGAGAAGGCAUAAAUGUGUGGAUCGCUGAAGAGAUCACAGCUGCUUUCCUCUUUCUCCUCCUCCCCUGGUCCUGCUGCUGCUGCAUGGUUUGGCUUAGGGUCUCAUCUGAAACCCAGGCUUGCCAUUUGUCUUGCUCCAGACAAAUCACAAGCUGUAGCUAUUUUCUAUGGCUUACCUCUUGUGGCUUGUCUGCAGUAGGCAGGUGGAGAGGACAUGCUACACUAAACCAAAUGACACAUUCAGACUAGAGAAGGAGCAAAGCAGUCUUGAUCUUCUCACUGAGAGUUUGCCCACCCACACUAAACCAUGGUUUGGCGUAGUCUUACAUGCAAACUGAGGAACUAUUUUACUGUCAUGAGCGUCAAUCCAACUUUCAAACUUUCUAGAGUACUGCCACUCUAGAAUAAGUGGUUUGGCGAUUAGGAUGUAAUAAGUCUUCUUCCAAGUGACAAAGUAAGAUGUUGAAAACGGACAGAGUGAGGGUUCUUUUUCCAAGCAAGCAUAAAGACGCAGGCUCUCUAAGGUUCAUUCUCUAUUGUCUCCACCCCAGCAGCAAAUGCAGCUGUGAAGAUCCAAGUGUGCCACACUUUUCCCAGACACAAGUGCUACCAGACAGUUGGGACUUAUAUAGAAGCACCUCCAGUCAACACUGAAAUCAGUAGGGAAUAGAGGGUGCUGAUGUGGUCACACCCACAUCAUACACUGAAUGCACAUUUCCUCCCCAAAUAAAUCCUGGGAACUGCAGUUUACCCCUCAAAGAGCUACAAUUCUCAGCACCCUUAACAAAGACAGUUCUCAGGGACGCUUUGGGUGAAGCCAUGUGCUUUAAAUGGAUGGCACGACUUUGUUUAUCUCCUCGCUUGGUCUUUCCAUUGGUUUUUUUGUUUUGUUUUUUCAAAUGAAAAGCUUUGCCUCAGAUUCCAGUUACUUCUUAUCCCUAAGUACACUUGUUGCCAAGAGACAAUUCAGCGCUGCUUUCAGUUCCUCCCUGCAGCCAUUGAGGAACCAAGCAGUAGGCUGUAGGAAAUAAACACUCUUCAUUAUUACCUUUUUUUUUUUUAUUUUCAACCAAUAUGCCCAUAGCAACCAGCAGUGAUAAAUGCAGGACUAACGCGCUGCCACAAUCUCACCUUUCUUUCUUUAUAAGUAAGUCAACUACACAGCUCAUAGAAAACAAGAGGAGAAUAAGAGAAACAGUAAUGUCCAGUCACAGAU
Molecule: non-coding RNA, 8741 nt
Organism: Podarcis lilfordi (Lilford's wall lizard)
Lineage: Eukaryota; Metazoa; Chordata; Lepidosauria; Squamata; Lacertidae
Source: the annotation of a GenBank genome assembly